GUGGCAGCAGCCGCGGUAAAACCAGCACCUCAAGUGGUCAGGAGGAUUAUUGGGCCUAAAGCAUCCGUAGCCGGCUCUGUAAGUUUUCGGUUAAAUCCAUGUGCUCAACGCAUGGGCUGCCGAAAAUACUGCAUAGCUAGGGAGUGGGAGAGGUAGACGGUACUCGGUAGGAAGGGGUAAAAUCCNUUGAUCUAUCGAUGACCACCUGUGGCGAAGGCGGUCUACCAGAACACGUUCGACGGUGAGGGAUGAAAGCUGGGGGAGCAAACCGGAUUAGAUACCCGGGUAGUCCCAGCCGUAAACGAUGCAGACUCGAUGAUGCAUUGGCAUAUAGCCAGUGCAGUGUCGCAGGGAAGCCGUUAAGUCUGCCGCCUGGGAAGUACGUACGCAAGUAUGAAACUUAAAGGAAUUGGCGGGGGAGCACCACAAGGGGUGUAGCCUGCGGUUCAAUUGGAGUCAACGCCAGAAAUCUUACCCGGAGAGACAGCAGAAUGAAGGUCAAGCUGAAGACUUUACCAGACAAGCUGAGAGGUGGUGCAUGGCCGUCGCCAGCUCGUGCCGUGAGAUGUCCUGUUAAGUCAGGUAACGAGCGAGAUCCUCGCCACUAGUUGCUAUCAUUAUUCUCAGGAAUAGUGGGGCGAAUUAGUGGGACUGCCGUUGUUAAAACGGAGGAAGGAGGGGGCUACGGCAGGUCAGUAUGCCCCGAAACUCUGGGGCCACACGCGGGCUGCAAUGRUAGCGACAAUGAGCUCCAAACUCGAAAGAGAGUGGCAAUCUCUAAACGCUACCACAGUUAUGACUGAGGGCUGUAACUCGCCCUCACGAAUAUGGAAUCCCUAGUAACCGCGUGUCAUUACCGCGCGGUGAAUACGUCCCUGCUCCUUGCACACACCGCCCGUC
Molecule: ribosomal RNA, 900 nt
Filed under: uncultured archaeon
Lineage: Archaea
Description: bacterial SSU rRNA
Rfam family: Archaeal small subunit ribosomal RNA
Source: RNAcentral